Long non-coding RNA from Balaenoptera musculus (blue whale), 608 nucleotides. RefSeq lists it as uncharacterized. The record is from RefSeq and is a predicted model, not a curated record. Lineage: Eukaryota; Metazoa; Chordata; Mammalia; Artiodactyla; Balaenopteridae. The transcript is spliced from 4 exons.
GGACCGGGCUUGCGGCGAGGUCGCGUACCCGGGCGGGCGUGGGCGCGGGCGCGCGCGUUCCCGGGACUCAGGGACUGUGGGGUGCCCUCGCGAGGCCGGGCCUGCCACCUCCAGGUCGCUACCUGAGCAUCUUUCCCUGCAGUUCCUUGAGUCGGCUCCAUCUUCUCCCCGCCCGCCCUUCUCUGUAAGGUGAAGACCUGGAGGAGGUAAUUCCUAUUACAGUCCUUGGGGGAUUUUCCAAAACGUUAAUGGAAGGACAGUCUGAUGACAAGAUUCCUCAUGAAGAGAAGGAAGACUGUCCAUAAAAUAUGCCAUGAGCAAAGACAAGGAAACAAGACUGCAGAUGCAUUCUGUGGUUCCAGGAAUUCAGAAGCAUAGUCUCAGCCCUCCUGUGUCUGACUGAGAGGCACAUAAGGAAAUCAUCACAAUACAAGGUGUCAGUCAAGUUAAAAUUAAAAGCAGAAAGAGAGAAGAGGGAGAAAGAGAGAGAAGAGAGACGAGAGAGAAGAAAACUGGUUGCUUUAGGUUAUGUGCUCAACUGUUGUCUAGGGAAAGAUGACAUUUUGAUAUUUUCACCAAGAUUGCACAUAAUGGACAAGGUUGCCCAC